UAUGGUUGAUCCUGCCAGUAGUCAUAUGCUUGUCUUAAAGAUUAAGCCACGCAUGUUUAAGUUCAUACCUUUGAUUGGUGAAAUCGCGAAUGGCUCAUUAAAUCAGUUAUAAUUUCAUGGGAUGUGUUUUCUUAAUUGGAUAACUGUGGUAAUUCUAGAGCUAAUAUAUGCAUAUACGUUUAACUACGGUUGGAUGUGCUUUUAUUAGUGCAAACCAUGUCGUAAGACUAUAGGUGGUGACUCUGAAUAACUUUGCCGAGCAUUUUGGCCUUGUGUCGGUGAUAUUCCGUCAAAGUAUCUGCUCUAUCAACUGUCGAUGGUAUAUUAUAUGUUUACCAUGGUUGUAACGGGUAACGGGGAAUUAGGGUUCGAUUCCGGAGAGGGAGCCUGAGAAACGGCUACCACAUCCAAGAAAGGCAGCAGGCGCACAAAUUACCCAAUCCCGGCUCGGGGAGGUAGUGACAAAAAAUAACAAUGCGGGUCUUAAAUGAGGCUUCGUAAUUGGAAUGAGUACAUUCUAAAUCCUUCAACGAGGAACUAUUGGAGGGCAAGUCUGGUGCCAGCAGCCGCGGUAAUUCCAGCUCCAUUAGCGUAUAUUAAAAUUGUUGCGUCUAAAAAGCUCGUAGUUUGAAAACUUGCCUUGACUUGCAAUAGGUCCACAUGGGCCACCGUUUGUCGAGCGCAAAUAUAGAUGACUGUUUUUGCCGGCUGAAUUGUUUGGCUUAUAAGAGUUAUCAAAUAUCACUUUGAAUUAAUUAGAGUGCUUAAAACAAGUGUAUUACUUGAAUAUAAAUGCGGUUAUGCCAAGACGUCUUGCGCCUUGGCAUAAGACGUCAUUACUCUCUAGCUUUUAAACCAUGCCCGUCAGUAAACUCUUCGCAUACCCUAGUUUAAGCCGGCGGAGCCCCCAGCCAGGGCCGGAAACCCACGCCUUUCGGCCAGAGGGUGCUACUUGCAACUUACUAAAGUCAUUAACACCAAAGGCCACGCAGAAGACGAAGCGCGGCCGGGAAACCUUAAGUUCUCAGAUAGCACGCAUUACAGUAUGCCUCCCGGUUAGCCAACCACGCAGCUGGUCUGCCGAUGUUGUUCGGCUGAAACCCUCUAACCGGAGAGCCCUUAUGGGCAACACACGGUGUU
Molecule: ribosomal RNA, 1140 nt
Filed under: Dermanyssus gallinae
Lineage: Eukaryota; Metazoa; Arthropoda; Arachnida; Mesostigmata; Dermanyssidae
Description: bacterial SSU rRNA
Rfam family: Eukaryotic small subunit ribosomal RNA (bases 2-937)
Source: RNAcentral